CUCAAUGAUUUUUUAAAUUGCUGUGGUAUUUUGACUAUACAAAGGUAUUGUAAUAAGACUUUAAUUGAGUGCUAAGAGAAUGGAAUUUCAGGAAAAAUCUUUUUUUAAAUUAAAAAUAGAAGUUAUUUUUAUUUGUGAAGAAACAAUAAUGUAAAUUUAGGACAAGAAGACCCUAUGAAUUUUUAUAUCUUUUAUGAAUUUAGGUGAAUAAAAGAUAUUUAAUUGGGGCGAUUAUAAAAUAUUUGUAACUUUUAUAAAGUAAAGUUGAUCCAUUAUUAAUGAUAAUAUGAAUAAAUACUCUAGGGAUAACAGCGU
This 315-nucleotide ribosomal RNA is filed under the name Haemaphysalis sp. WX38. Its description in RNAcentral is "partial large subunit ribosomal RNA". The record is from RNAcentral. Lineage: Eukaryota; Metazoa; Arthropoda; Arachnida; Ixodida; Ixodidae.